ACUCAUGAAUAUUUUUUUUCACGUGUUCAAGUGACAAAAAACUUGAACAUGAUGAAAUGUUUGUUUUCAUAAACAUUUAAUCCUCCAGAAGAGGUAAUAAAAGCUGUUUACAUCACACCAUAAUAUACAGAGCAACAAAAUCACAGUAAAUCAAUAUUAACAGUAGGAAUGUAGAUUCAUUGUUUGUGUUUGUUUUUAAGUUUAUGAAGACAGAAACCUAGCAACGCAUACCACAGUGGAAAGCAGACAAAGACUUCCAUCAUGUCUCUACCAGUAUUGCCUGCUUGCUAUUUUGGAAAUAACUGCAGAAAAUGAUUGUUGGAAUCUCCGUCUAACUAUCACAGAUUAUUACAAACAAAAGGAGAACUGAAGUUUGCUGUUAGCAAAAACACAUCUAUGAUAGUGUUUUUUUUGUUUGUUUGUUUUACUUUGUCCCAUUCAUGAUUAUCGUUGUUUUUACAUCUUCUUUAUUGUUCAUACUUUAUAUACAGAUCAAAACCACUUUGACAUUCACAUGCUCUAUUACACAGUGAUAAAAGAAACAUAACUGUACAAGCUUAUUUCUGUGGAAACAAUUAGAAAACAACACAAAGUGUACAAAACCCCUGCCAUGAGUUCAGGUUUCUGUAAAAAACAUGACUUUAACAAAUCAUUUCAAAACAUUUUUUUGACAUAUAGUAUCUUAUAGAAUACAUGUUUAAUCAUUAUUUUUAUUAUAAAAUAUUCAGAAAAAGCUGCCAUUACCUGUUACAUAUUGUUUUCACUGGUAAACCAACACACUUUUGUUGAAAUCACAUCUGUCAUUAAAUAUGGUGAAUCUCAUUAACCCGAAAUAAAGUCCAAUUGAAGUGAUGGUAGUCCCAAAUAAUGUGAGGAAAACAGGCGACAACAAUGGCAUUAUUAAACUUGGACAUAUCUCCAAAAUUCAUGAAAAGAAACUGGUCAGGCAACCUGCACAGCAACACUGAAGAAACUGUAGGAAUUUCAAACGGAGACCAGUUGUGUUCUAUGUAACAGCAAUCUUCUGUGUCCACAUAUCUGAACUAGGGAGUGAGCAAUGGCCACAAGACAGAGGUCCUUUCACCCAGGAAACACAGUGGAGUUACAUUUUUCAACGUCAUAGUGAAGCCAUGUGGAUCAACACCGAAGAAAAGAUGGUUUUCAUGAAAACCUAAAAGGAGCCUUUCAAUCUUAUAGAUUUGGGGAUCCUUUGCCAGGCAGAAUGUCAAAUAUCAUAGAGCUAUAGGAGCAACAGUUUGCACUUGAACUAUAAAGGAUAAAUUUACUUGGAAUGUUGUUUUUAAUGACAAGCCUAGCAUUUUAAAAGAGGCGUUUGCAUUUUUUAGAAUCUGUAUUCUGUUAUAUCAUGCAAUCAACAUGCUGUGUUCUUUAAUAAUACAGUCUAUGACACAUAGUUUGUGGGUACAGUAAACAGCCUACGAAACAUGUUCUGAGAACUUCAUUCUACAAACACGUUCUUGUUGUAGAUUUGCUUUGAGACCAUAAAGCAGUUGCAAGAAGGAUGUAAUGAAGGCGUCUUGAGAAAAACCCUUAAAAACAGACAGGUCGCCAUGCUGUAAA
Molecule: long non-coding RNA, 1581 nt
Organism: Poecilia latipinna (sailfin molly)
Lineage: Eukaryota; Metazoa; Chordata; Actinopteri; Cyprinodontiformes; Poeciliidae
Exons: 2
Source: RefSeq, a predicted model, not a curated record